Molecule: long non-coding RNA, 187 nt
Organism: Cotesia glomerata
Lineage: Eukaryota; Metazoa; Arthropoda; Insecta; Hymenoptera; Braconidae
Exons: 3
Source: RefSeq, a predicted model, not a curated record
UCAUACAACGAUAGAGAGAGAGAGAGAGAGAGUGGGGAAAGCAGAGUGAAGAAAGAACUACAACGACAAGACCACGAAGAUUCAUUGUGACCGAACAGUCUCACUGGACGCAUCGCAAAUUUUUGUAAGAACACAGAGCACAGGCUUGAGAAAAUACCCAGAGCACGAGUGACAGUGACCAGAGUUU